UAUUAACACCAAACUUUAUAUCAAUUUAUUGUUUUUGUCUCAUGUCUUUCUCACUAGUUUGUCUUGUUUUGGAGGUUUUUCAUCACAUAGUUUUCAUUUUCCACUCAUUUAAAGGUAAAUUUAUUAAUUUUAGAUAUGUAUUUUUGUAUGUUUUAUAAAGGUAGAUCUAUCUAUCAUUCCACUCAUUUUCUCUGUUUAAGUCAUUUGAACGUUUUUAGAGAUGCAGGUUUUUCAGAUCUGGAUUUGGAUAUGCAUGUUCAGAUCUGGAAGACUUCAGGGCUAGAAGACUUCCAGACGACUUCCAGACGACUUCCAGACGACUUCCAUAAUAGAUCUGAGCGUUCUGGUAAGUUCUUAUGUCUGAUGGAGUCUUCUCCCAGGUCUCCCUUUCAUAAUAGAUCUGAGCGUUCUGAUAAGUUCUUACGUCUGAUUUUUCUUCAUUUGGCAACCUCCUGUUGCAUAAAAUUCAUACAUUUUUUCCUAACUAAAAAUCUCCAAACCCACUCUAAUCUCUUUGACUUGAAAACACUAAACUUUAUAUAAAUUUUUCAUUUUUGUCUCAUGUCUUUCUCACUAAUCUAUUUUUUUGUUGCAGGUUUUAAUCAGAUGGUUCUCAUCUUCCACUUGGAUAUGUACUUUGUGUGUUUUAUAAAUGUAUGUCUAUUUAAUUUUCCACUAAUUUCCCUGUUUAUAAGCCACUUGAAUGUUUUUUAAUAUGAUAUGCAAGAUUUUCAGAUUUGCGUUUGAUAUACAUGUUUCUCAGAUCUGGAUCAGACUUUGGAAGACCUAUGGGAAGUUUUCUCGGAAGUCUUCUAAAAUAUAAUGCACUAGAAGACUUCUUCUAGACGACUUCCAGAAAGUCUUCUGACGGGUCUUCUUCCAUAUCAAGUGGAGUCUAAGCUUGUCUUUGUAGAGCCAUCUUGUUAAAUCAACAGAUCCACCAUAACUUUUUUUCACGGUUAAAAUUGAUACUUCAUCUUUUUUUUGAAUGAAUGUAAAUAAUAUUCAAACAAAAAAGUUUAUCUUUUUCAAACAUCAUUCAGGCUAAUCUCAACCGUGAUCCGCAAAACCCUAUUACGGCGUCAAAAUGGUGAAUAUUCACCAAAUUCUCAUCAACAAACUAUCUGACUUGGAGUGUGCAAAUCACAUCUCUUCUCAGAGGUUAUGAUCUUGUCAAGUUCAUGGACAAAACUAUCAUUCCUCCUCCUGGGACAAUCAAUGUCAACGAUGUUCUCACUCCAAAUCGUGCUCUCAUGGCCUGAUAGCGACAGAACAAUCUUCUAUUCAACGGUCUCAUGGGUGCUAUUGAGACUCCGAUUCAAACACUUAUCGCUACAUCCAGGUCAACUCUUGAGGCUUAGAACACUCUAUCUGCUACGUAUGGCAAACCAACACGGGGGCGAAGAAGUAUGGAGGUUUUUGUGAGGAGAGACUGUUUCAUGAAACUGAACAUGGAGAGAGAUGAAGAUUUUGGUGGAGGAAGGAUCAAGACAGAGGUAGGCACUCUGAGUUUGGGAGUAAACUAAGAAGAUGCAGGGAGUGGAGCGAGGUUCAAGUUUUUGUUGAUGUCAUUGUCGUCACAGGAAACAACUCUGCAGCGGUCGAGAAAUUCACACAACGCCUAAGCAUCCGAUUCUCUCUUAAGGACUUAGGCUCUCUCAGUUAUUUUCUGAGAAUUGAAGCACAUCGCACUGCUGAGGGGAUCCUUCUCACGCAACAAAAAAUACAUCACAGACUUGUUAACUCAUACUUAAAUCCAGCCUUAACUCCGAUGGCCUCCAAUUGUCACUUGCAACUUACUUCUGGUACACCUCUCACUGAAGCUUGCAUUAUCUUCAUUUUACAAGAUCAGAUGUGGCUUUUUCUGUGAACAAGUUGUCACAAUUUGUGCAUCGUCUGUCGGAUAAACAGUGGCAGGCAGCAAAACGUGUUCUCCGCUAUCUCUCUGAAACUCGCGAUCAAGGCAUCUUUCUUCGCAGCAACAACACUCUCAACCUUCAUGCCUUCGCGGACUCCGACUGGUCGGGAAAUUGGGAUGAUUAUACUUCAACAAGAGCGUACAUUGUUUAUCUUGGCUCUCAUCAUGUGGUCUGGUCCUCAAAGUAACAAAAGACUGUUGCUCGUUCUUUAGCUGAAGCUGAGUACAGGUCUAUAGCUGACACUGCCGCUGAAGUGUUCUGGAUGUCGUAUCUUCUGUCUGAACUGGGAGUCUCUACUGCAUCUCAACCUGUCAAUUUUUUUUUGACAAUGUGGGUGCUAUAUAUCUUGUCGCAGACCAUGUUUUUCACUCUCGCAUGAAGCACGUGGCGCUUGAGUAUCAUUUUGUUCCUCAAAUGGUUCAGUCACAGUUUCUCAGAGUCACUAAUGUAUCUUCUAAAGAUCAGCUAGCCGAUGCACUUACUAAACCGCUACCUCGUCUGCGUUUACGACAACUCAAUUCCAAGAUUGGGCUCUCAUCCGGUCGCUCAUCUUGCGGAGGCGUAUAGGGGAUAAAUACGGGAGUAUUCUAGUUCCUUUUAUAUAGAAGUAUCUUGUAUAUUGAUAGAGUAUAUGCUCUGUAUAUAAGCUCUAGAGAUCCUACGUGAGCUCUCUCGUAUAUAUAUAUUGUAUUCCUCUCUAUUAUCAAUACAACACAUUACCCAUAUCUCUCUACGUCUUUUUGAGAACAGAUCAGUAACACCUGCGCCGGAAAGAGUCCUUAAGGCAGUUCUUGGAGCCCUCGUAUGGCAGUCUCCUCAAGCUGAGGUACGACAGAACAGGCCUCCUCUUCACAUCUCAGCUCCACUUCUCCUUGCAAUACCACCCGAAACAAAUUACGCAGAGUACAUGAGAAGCAACGACAGCAUGUGUGACAGCCAUGGAGGAUGAGCUUAACCAGAUCGGAAGGGAAAAUAGAAAAAAGAGUGUAAUCCAUGUACUUGUAGAGGUCAGGGUAGUUAUGUCAAGCAUAAGCUAUGAGGAUAACUUAGAGUAGAUGAGGAGAUCUUUCGACGCGGAGGAGAAGACGAUGGAAGGCUGGAAGCAGUUGAAGUGGAUUUUUUUUGCUGGUGGUUUGUGAGGUGGCUGAUGGCUGUGUGGAUUGUGUGGAGCUGACAGAGGAGGUGGUCAUGGACAGAAGGGACAAAGGUCGGUGAGGAUUUAGAAUGGAAGAAAUUGGUGGCGGAAGAGAUGAUGUUUGUAGCUACCAUGACUAUUACUAGAAGCAGAUUCAAGCUUUAUGGGCUUGAGCGGAGGAGAUUUGGAAAGUUUAGUGAAGUCACAGAGGAGAGCGAAUUCCAAAAUCCAGCUCCGGUGAACAAGGCAAUUAAUCCAUCAAGAAGGUUCGAAUUGAGACUGAAGUUGAGAGCAGUGAGAUUUUGAAGCUUGAGCGGAGAUAUGGGAUUGUGGUGGAGUCGCUGAGGAGAUCUGAGUUCCGACGAGACUAAUUAUGGCGACUUAGGAAGGUGGUUAUAGAUAUGAAGAUGGUGGAUACUAAGGUGGUUGCUCGAGACGAGGAUAUGGUGGUGGAUACGGUGGAGGCGGAAGACAGGAGAGUGGAGAUGGUGGUUGAUACCGGAGUGGAAGUUAUGAUGGUUAUGGAUACAAAGGCUGUGGAUACGAAAGUGGAGACAGAGGUGGAGACUAUGGUGACGAUAUAUACCGUAAAUGAGGUUGUAUGGUUAUGGAUAUGAAGUUCAUGGUUACGGACUUGGAAACAUCACACCUGUCCAUACAUCCUCUUCCCAAACAUUAGUAUUAGCUAUUCAUGUAGACAUCCAAGACCUUGUCCACAAAAACAUUUUCACAAACAAUCACAGUUACACAAUCAUAACCACAUGAACUCGUCCAUAAGAAGACAUCCACCAAAAAAUUGUAUAUGAGAGCAUAUUCACGAGUCUUGUCCAUUAACUAUAUAACCACGAGAAAAUUUGUCCAGAGCGUAGUUAAUUUUUUUUUAAAAAAAUAUAAAACAUAUAUAUAUAUAUAUAUAUAUAUACAAAUGGAUAUCAAAAUGAAAAAGAAAAUAUUUUAUUUUUAUAUAUAUAAACUUUAUACAUUCAUAUAUUGAAAUAGUAAAUAAUGAUAAAUGAAAGAUGAUGGGGGUACAAAAUGUUAGAUUUAAUUAAAAUCAAAUACAUUUUUGUUAUUAGAAAAUGUAAAGGAGAAUAAUUCGUCCGGGAGCUACAGCAGAAAAAAAA
Molecule: long non-coding RNA, 4178 nt
Organism: Brassica rapa (field mustard)
Lineage: Eukaryota; Viridiplantae; Streptophyta; Magnoliopsida; Brassicales; Brassicaceae
Source: RefSeq, a predicted model, not a curated record